ACCUUAGGGGGAGGGACACGGCGGCACCCCAGGUGUAACCUGGAGGACAGAGUGUGCCGAGUGUCUUCAUUGCUGCGCAUGAUCGCCUGUGUUUUACAGGUGUUUUCAGUGGUGGACAGAAGUCAUUGUGGGAUUCUGACCAGUCUGCAGCUACACGUCAUAAUGCCUGAUUCCACCUCUCAGUGCCACCGUUACAUAGAAAAGAUGAACUCCACGAAAGAGAGAUUCACAAAAGGUCUUUGAAGAUGUUUCACCUCUCAUCCCCACUUGAAGAACUUGAAAGAGAAAUCUAGCUGCUUUUUCCUGAAGCUCUAAUUAUCUCCAUGACCCUAAUGACUGAGGAUCUACACAGACGUUCUUUAUGAUGGUACAAUAUUUUUAGCAUAAGAUUAGAUGUCAAAAAGUCACAUCUGUUUUCUCGGUGCUGAUCAAAUGUGUAGUUUUUGGCUUUGUAGACUUAUUGUGUUCAGACUCAAACACUUUUGAACAUUAUUUAGGAGGAAUGCGUGAUAGCUUGCUGGGUCUUUAUGUGUUUCUUUUUGCUAAACAUGUCAAAUCCUUUCACAUAUUCUGUCCUGUAAAAGAAAGUGUCUUAUGUUUUUCUUUCACCUUGUAAACUGGUUUAAGAUAUGAGAUAAGGUAAUCCUUUAUUGAUCCCACAGUGAAGAAAUUUGCAGUGUUAUAGUAGCAAAGGAAAUAGUGCGGAAAUGUGGGGAACAUCAGUAAAAAAGAUAAAAUAGCAAACAAGGAAUAUACAUAUGUGGUGCUGUUGAUAUUGUGCAGUAUCCAUCCACACGUAGAAAUUCUAGAUAUUGCACAGAAUCUUCUAAAGGUGGAAAAUAAUAUUGCACAGUAUCAUUCUAUGAGAAGAAAAAUAGUGAUAUUGCACAAAUAAGUAGAAAAUACUUAAAUUGAAAAUACUGAUAGUGUUCAGAUUGUGCUACAUGUACAAAAACAGAAUGCUGCAUUUGGUUUUUGGCAGCAAUAAAACUGGUUUAUAGUG
Long non-coding RNA from Amphiprion ocellaris (clown anemonefish), 1003 nucleotides. RefSeq lists it as uncharacterized. The transcript is spliced from 4 exons. The record is from RefSeq and is a predicted model, not a curated record. NCBI's taxonomy places the organism in Eukaryota, Metazoa, Chordata, Actinopteri, Pomacentridae.